AGGCUAGUUCUGAGAAUUUGAGGAAACUGAUGAAUCGUCUCUUCUAAAUUUGAAAUAUAAUAGACCUGUCAAGCUGGGCUGAAAAUUUUACAUUUCCUUUUCAAAAAACCUACUAGAAAUUCUUCACAAAUCUGUUCAAGCUAAAAAGUGUGUUUGCGUAUACAAGGGAAACAGAAAGAGGCAGCGACAGAGUAUGACAAUGACACGACAAUAAAACAAAACCAACAAAGAAAAAAAGACGGAACAGACUAUAUGAGGUUUAUAAUGUGUAUGUUUCUCUUCUUUCAGUUAGAAUGUGUUCUUUCUUCCUCCCUGUAUUUAUGUAAUAGAAGAUAUUUUAUAUUUCCAUAAGGCACACUUAUAAUUUUGUUAUUCAAACAUCCUAUUCUCAAAAUAUCAUUCAUUCUUAGAAAUGUUUGUGUAAUUAUAAGGGUGGCAUUCACACUAAUUCAUAGCAAAUAUUAAUAGAGAUUAAUGUGAAUUAAAUAGUCUAGAAAUAAGGGGAACAUGAUGAUCAAAAUUCAUCAACCAGCCAGACACACUGCAGUUCAGGGAUCUUUUGUAUGAUCCACUUCAUCACUGUUUUGAAAAACCUUUUAAAUUCAAGCAUAUACACUUUAAUUCCUGGGAAAUCUACUAGGAAACAAAAUUCACUGUUUCUCUCCAAAAAGAAUAUAAAUCACACAACAACAAAAAAAGCUAGACACCUGCACAAGCAAAAAUCUUAAGUUUAAUUAUGUUUGGUUUUAACUUACUUUCCAUGCUUUCACAACUCCCUAAUCCCACUGAAAUUCCCUUAGGUCAGGAACUGUUCAUUCUCCCCUAAAUUACUCUUAAGAGCAGCCUGACUCUCCUCCUCCUAGUUAUGACUGUCAGAAAACUCAUUUUUCUUUGAAUUCCUCCUCAUCAUCCAUCUACCAAACAUUAAGUGUUAAAACAAGUCUCAGAGGAGGGGGGACAUAAAAUAUAUGAAUAAAUAAUCAGAAAACUCUUAUCAAAUUUGAUAAACUUUGACUUACCAAGUAAAAUAAAAAGUAAAGAGUCAUAGAAAAUGAAAUAGAAAGCAGAUUGACAUUAGAGAAAAUUGGUGGACUCAAAAGUCCUUUAAAACGAUCUAAAAUUGCUAAACAUAUAGGUAUAUUAAGGAAAGAAAAAGAGAGACAAUAGAAAUUUCCAAAAUUAGAAAUGAAAAAGGGAAUAUAAUUGCUGAUUCCACAUAUGCUAUAAAGCUAAUAUGGGAACAUACAGACAAAGCUAUGCCAAUAAAUACUGCAAACUUGAUGAAAUACAAAUUGCUUAGUAGUUGCAAAUUAUAAAAAUUAACAAUAAUAAAAGCUUAAUGACAUUAGUUAUUAAAUAAAUGAUACUUAUAAUUUAAAAAUCUUCACACAAAGAAAAUCCCAGCCCCAUAUGUGUUCACUGGUUAGCUCCACAAACAUUUAAGGACGAAAACUGCAUCAAUCCUAUGUAAACUCUUUCAGAAUUUAGAAUGAAAGCAAACACUUCUCAACAUAUUCUAUGAAGCCAAUACAUGAUUCCAAAAUCUGUCAGGACAUUGCAAGUAAAAAAAAAAGGGAAAAAAGUUACAGCCUCUAGAAAACAGACACAAGUAGAUAAUACAAAUAUAAUUUAUUUAGUUAUCUAUCUUCACCACUCCCUUGGAAUGAAACUUUGCUUGUUACAUCAAAUAACUUAUAAUGGAGUUUUUAUUUUUUUCAGUUUUAUCCUAUUUUACCGUUUGACCUCUUUCAUCUCCCACCCUCCACCCACUAUCUCUGCUGAGCACCAAUUUGUUCUCUGUGUCUAUAAUUUUUUUUUUUUUUUAGAUUCUAGUAUUUGUCCUUCUCUGUCUGACUAAUUUCACUUAACAAAAUGCAAUCAACGGAGUUCCUGAUGUGGUGCAGCAGACACGAACCUAACUAGGAACCAUGAGGUUGCAGGUUUGAUCCCUGGCCUUGCUUGGUGGGUUAAGGAUCUGGCGUUGCUGUGAGCUGUGGUGUAGGUUGCAGAUGCGGCUCUGAUCUGGCAUUGCUGUGGCUGUGGCAUAGGCUGGCAGCUACAGCUCUGAUUAGAGCCCUAGCCUGGACCCUCCAUAUGCCACAAGUGCAGCCCUAAAAAGACAAAAAGACAAAAAAAAAUGCAAUCAACAUCCAUCUAUAUUUUUACACAUGGCAUGAUUUAAUUUUUUAUGGCUGAAUAUUAUCCCAUUGUGUUUGUGUGUGUUUAACUUCUUUACCCAUACACCCAUCUAUGGACACUGAGAUUGUCUCCAUUCUUGGCUAUUGUAACUAGUUCUUCAGUGAAUAUGGGGAUGCAUAUAUCUUUUCAAAUUAGUGUUUUGAUUUCUUUGGAAACAUGUAUUUUUAUAUGUAUAUUCCUGUUAUUAGAAAUUACAUUUGAUAGGUUCAUUUUGCCCCACCAUUAUUUAUUUAGAAACUAGCUUCAAGUGCACUAUUUAUCAUAACUAACCCAUGUAUUUUAUGCUACCUACUUUAUAUCACCUAAUGCCAUCUCUCAUUUGUAAGUAUACUGAGCAAAUUAGUAAUUGCUGAUUUUCAGUUACAGGUUGCUCUUUGGCUUGAUGUUAUUAGACUGAAUGGUAGUAACAAAUUAUUUCCUAAGGGGAAAACUAUUUUCCCCUAUAUUAUUUUGGAAGUCAUAUAAGAUACUUUGAUAUUUAAAUGAAAAAUGAACAGCAAAACAUCUAAAAUCAAUUUCUGAAUGAAAAUAAUCACGUGAUGAUAAAAAUGACACAUGAUAAUCAUAAAAAUAUGACACGUUCAAGGAAUCUAAUGACAAAUACUGAAUAAAUACCAGAUUUUUCUAGAAGGAAAACCCAACAUUGAUAGCAUGCAUUUGAUAUAAUUAUUCCCUUUGAGAACUGGAAAAAAAUCCCAAUAGAAUAAGUAUCUGUCAUAGCUAUGCUCUGACAAAUAAUGUGUAAGACAGAGGCUUCAGUGACAAAAUAUCAACACUAUUUUCACUUUCCAAACUUUGAAUGUUAGGACUGCCCUAUCAAAGACUUAAGAGUCCAAGUUUUUCUUAGUAAUAAAUAUGAGCAUAAUGAGGAAAACUUUCUACCUUAAACAAGUCCUAACAAUACCUUGGCAAUUGUAAACUUCCAGCAUAUGGUUCAUUUACAUGAAGAGCAUCUUGGCAGAACAUUUUUAAAUAUCUAAGCCUCCAAGAUGAUGAGAAGACAAACAACCUGGCCCACGGGGUGAUUAAUACUAUUGUAGACAACCAUGAUUGAUUGCCCAAAACACUCUCUUUUGUCAGACUUCUCUUGGUAAAACUCAGUGCAAAUGAAACUUGUUUUUUUGUCAUUUUGAAUAUUUUAACAGCUUCAUUUCCUUGGGUAAAAUGAUUAGUGCAUUAUAAUUAGCGUAUAUCCUUGGGUUGAGUAUCAUGAAAAUAGUUAGUGCACACUUUCAGAAUGUAAAAUACUAUAAUCCUAUUUUUGCUUCUUUUGUUUAGCACUUUAUGGAGAUGUAUUAUUUUGUUGUGAAAGUAAUACAAUGUGAAGGACAAUGUAAAAGCAAGCAAAUACUCAGGUUUACAUAUUCUAAUCAAAUUUAUCUGAUUCAUGAUUAGAAAUUACUAAUCAUGACUGACAAAUUCUUGAUUUCUCUAUGAUAUGGCAGUUUAAUUUUUACCACAUUGUAAAGUUCUGAACAAGGUUAAUUAUACAUUUGCCCAUAGUUCUGAAUACGUCAGAUCCCUCAGUUAUAUAUUCAGUGCUAUUCUUGCCGCAAUUUUAUAGUAAAAAUACUUUACAGAAAUAAAAUAUUUUGUAUUACUGCUGCUAACAAUAUUUCCUGCUUUCACUCUUUUUCAAAAAUAACUAAACCAGCUCUGAAAUUACACACCUUGUCCUAAGUACUAGAUCUCUGUAUCUAUCGAUCGAUCGAUUGAUCCCAAUACCUAAAAACUAACAUCUAAGUAGGUAAGAAUAGAUUUAUUUAAUCUCUGGAAAAUUAAAUGCACAUAUUGUUCUGCCAAAGUAAAUCCCCUCAUAAUAUAACUUCUUUAUGUAAGAUGAUGUGCUAGAAGAUGAAAUAAGAAUGGGCAUUUUUUUUUAUGUGCUUGAGUUUUUAUGCCCUUGAUCCCCUAAUACACUGGUGACAGAGAUAGGCAUGUGAGCAGACAAACUAAUAUAGCAAGAUUUGCAUGACUUUGGGUAAAAAGAUAAGAUGCUUUAACAAAAAGACCCCAAAUUAGAUAUGUCUAUUUCUCUCUCUAGUUGCUGCAAGAGGUAAGCAAUCAAGAGGACAGAGAAUUUGUAUCUUUUCACAUGUAGCUUUCAUCUCUGAUCCCAGGUGGCUGUUUCAGUUGUUCUUAUUUCAAAUUUUGGAGGUUCUAGAGAACCACAAAUAAGCAUAACUAGAAUAAUAUAUAAAUAUCUAGUUGUGAAUCCAAUUCAGAAAAAAUUAUAUUUAAACAAUUUUAUUAGCAUACAAAAAGUUUUAAAAUUAAGAAUGUAAAUAUAACUAAGCCUGAUUAAUCAAAUAAACUACAAAUAAACAAAAAUCAGUAAAUUUCAUAGGUUUUUUCUGUUAACAAUUAUGGAAGAAUAUUUGAUAAUCAUUUGAGAGAAAGCAGCACCUACAUACCUUAAGGGGCUAUGAUAUCUAAGAGAAGGGACAUACAACAUUGUGAAACUCACAUUCACUCUGGUCUUUUUACUGAGUGCAUUAUCUAGUCCAUUGCAGAACAGAAUAAAGUUUAAGCACAAAGUGAGAACUACAAUAGUUGCUAGAAAUAGAGGUUGGUACAGAUUUACUUCGAAGCUUAUGUCAAAUACACAGCCGCUCAUAUGUAAGGCGAAACUUUAAGAAACCCAGCAAAAAGCAGUCUCUGGUAGCUAAAGACCUGAGUAGAUAACUCUGCUGCUAUACAAUAAGGGGAGGCAGUGGAUGGAAGUAGAAGGGCUUUUAUGAAAAACCCAGGAUUUUCUCUGAAACUCCAGAAAUUCCCCAAUGUGUGUGGAAAUACAAUGCAACUAAAGAUAAAAAUGAUGUAUGCCAGCCUAGGCAACUCUAAAUUAAAUUUAGAGAGUGUCACAUUAGUCUACUUAUAAUCCUUGUGCUUG
Molecule: long non-coding RNA, 5092 nt
Filed under: Sus scrofa (pig)
Lineage: Eukaryota; Metazoa; Chordata; Mammalia; Artiodactyla; Suidae
Description: lncRNA (ENSSSCG00000061193.1)
Source: RNAcentral